This 76-nucleotide transfer RNA is filed under the name bacterium. RNAcentral describes it as "tRNA-His". It matches the Rfam family "tRNA". From Rfam's summary of the family: Transfer RNA (tRNA) molecules are approximately 80 nucleotides in length. Their secondary structure includes four short double-helical elements and three loops (D, anti-codon, and T loops). The record is from RNAcentral.
GUGCUGGUAGCUCAGCUUGGUAGAGCGCCUGCCUGUGGCGCAGGAAGUCGCGGGUUCAAAUCCCGUCCAGCACCCA